GCACCAUCCUGCCUCCAUGAGGGAUAAAUGUGGCCUCCCUGUCCUGAGCCCUGCAGAUCCGCUGAAGAGCUUCGGCCAGAGUGGUUCAAAACCUACAAGUUCAGGAAACAGUAAGGGGAAAACAAUGCUGGACAACUGUGGGAAGAUGUCGGCGAUGGAAGUCCCACCCUGUUGCUGGAGAGUCAUGGAGAACAGUAUGUCCAGUGAACAUUGAGACUCUUCCACGGAAGAAGGUUCUGUGGACCAAGUGCUGGUGUCACAGUUGGUGUCCCCCUGGGAAAUUAAGGAGAUCAGAAGAAGGUGUUGUAUCCCCCAGGAGAUGAAUUGAAGGAUGGUUGUGCACCACCAUAAGGAUGCUCAGAAUGGAACUCAGGUAAUUUGAAUGAGCAACAAGUACUCUUAACUGCCAAACUUGCUCUCCAGCCCCAGUCUGUGUAUUCUUAAGGUUAUGGUAGAUCUCCAGACCUUACCCUCCUGUGCCAACAUUUACUGUCACUCGGUAUCCACAUGGCUGUCAUUGUCUCUCUGCUUCUUCAGUGUCAUCAUUAAUCUUGGAGACUUGACCAGAUUGAGAGCCAUUCAGAAAACUGAGGUAAAAAGAAAACAAAAACCUCAAGCUCCAAGGACAGGCUUCUCUACUGGAAUGACAGCUUCCUGAGAGGCUUGAGUGCCCCUGGCACUG
Long non-coding RNA from Peromyscus californicus insignis, 682 nucleotides. RefSeq lists it as uncharacterized. The transcript has 4 exons. NCBI's taxonomy places the organism in Eukaryota, Metazoa, Chordata, Mammalia, Rodentia, Cricetidae. The record is from RefSeq and is a predicted model, not a curated record.